This 1446-nucleotide ribosomal RNA is filed under the name uncultured organism. RNAcentral's name for it is "SSU rRNA". It matches the Rfam family "Bacterial small subunit ribosomal RNA". The record is from RNAcentral.
GCUUUCUACAGGCUUAACACAUGCAAGUCGAGGGGCAGCAUGGUCUUAGCUUGCUAAGGCCGAUGGCGACCGGCGCACGGGUGAGUAACACGUAUCCAACCUGCCGUCUACUCUUGGACAGCCUUCUGAAAGGAAGAUUAAUACAAGAUGGCAUCAUGAGUCCACAUGUUCACAUGAUUAAAGGUAUUCCGGUAGACGAUGGGGAUGCGUUCCAUUAGAUAGUAGGCGGGGUAACGGCCCACCUAGUCUUCGAUGGAUAGGGGUUCUGAGAGGAAGGUCCCCCACAUUGGAACUGAGACACGGUCCAAACUCCUACGGGAGGCAGCAGUGAGGAAUAUUGGUCAAUGGGCGAGAGCCUGAACCAGCCAAGUAGCGUGAAGGAUGACUGCCCUAUGGGUUGUAAACUUCUUUUAUAAAGGAAUAAAGUCGGGUAUGCAUACCCGUUUGCAUGUACUUUAUGAAUAAGGAUCGGCUAACUCCGUGCCAGCAGCCGCGGUAAUACGGAGGAUCCGAGCGUUAUCCGGAUUUAUUGGGUUUAAAGGGAGCGUAGAUGGAUGUUUAAGUCAGUUGUGAAAGUUUGCGGCUCAACCGUAAAAUUGCAGUUGAUACUGGAUAUCUUGAGUGCAGUUGAGGCAGGCGGAAUUCGUGGUGUAGCGGUGAAAUGCUUAGAUAUCACGAAGAACUCCGAUUGCGAAGGCAGCCUGCUAAGCUGCAACUGACAUUGAGGCUCGAAAGUGUGGGUAUCAAACAGGAUUAGAUACCCUGGUAGUCCACACGGUAAACGAUGAAUACUCGCUGUUUGCGAUAUACUGCAAGCGGCCAAGCGAAAGCGUUAAGUAUUCCACCUGGGGAGUACGCCGGCAACGGUGAAACUCAAAGGAAUUGACGGGGGCCCGCACAAGCGGAGGAACAUGUGGUUUAAUUCGAUGGUACGCGAGGAACCUUACCCGGGCUUAAAUUGCAGAUGAAUUACGGUGAAAGCCGUAAGCCGCAAGGCAUCUGUGAAGGUGCUGCAUGGUUGUCGUCAGCUCGUGCCGUGAGGUGUCGGCUUAAGUGCCAUAACGAGCGCAACCCUUGUUGUCAGUUACUAACAGGUUCCGCUGAGGACUCUGACAAGACUGCCAUCGUAAGAUGUGAGGAAGGUGGGGAUGACGUCAAAUCAGCACGGCCCUUACGUCCGGGGCUACACACGUGUUACAAUGGGGGGUACAGAGGGCCGCUACCACGCGAGUGGAUGCCAAUCCCCAAAACCUCUCUCAGUUCGGACUGGAGUCUGCAACCCGACUCCACGAAGCUGGAUUCGCUAGUAAUCGCGCAUCAGCCACGGCGCGGUGAAUACGUUCCCGGGCCUUGUACACACCGCCCGUCAAGCCAUGGGAGCCGGGGGUACCUGAAGUGCGUAACCGCGAGGAGCGCCCUAGGGUAAAACUGGUGACUGGGGCUAAG